This 685-nucleotide long non-coding RNA is filed under the name Elaeis guineensis (African oil palm). RNAcentral's name for it is "long non-coding RNA (EGUI_LNC030103)". Lineage: Eukaryota; Viridiplantae; Streptophyta; Magnoliopsida; Arecales; Arecaceae. The record is from RNAcentral.
CUACUAUGCAGUCUUUUUUGUGCCCUUAUAUAUGAGCAUUGCAACAACUGGGCUGAUGCAAUAGGCUGUUUCUAGUCCUGCAUUGUCUCCUAAAAGGAGCCAGAGUCAGCCUGUUGUCAAUUUUACUUCCAUUUGAAGUAAAGCAGUUUCUGAAGGGGAGGGAUGAUGUAAUAAUAUCGCCCACAGACCAUAAAAACAGGUGAUGGAAUGACUUCCAUAAAUUAAGAUCAUCAGCCAACAAAGUUCUAUUAAGAUAAUUUAGUCAAAACUAAAGCCAUUUACACCACUUGCACCACUGACAAAAUCGCGAGUUGAUAGGAGGCAACACCAUCAACACACUUUAUAUCUUGAUAGCAGCUAGCUUUAUUAUCCUAGCUCUGAAGUUGCAAUUUUGUAUCCAACAACCACCAACUAUUUUGAGGUCAAGCAAUAAUUUUUGAGUCUUGACAGGAUUCAAUCGUCAGGCUCUUGUACAUUCGUUGAGCAAACAAAGAGAUAGGGUUGUUCAUUCAUCUUUAUAUUGGCCUAUCACCUCUUGUAUUGUUUAUAAAGAAGAAAGGUGAUAAGGGAGCCAGGAGGAGGCGAAAAAAUCUCUCUUUUGCUUUAAUUUGUACACGCUGCAUGGGCUUUCCAAGUCAGUAUUACAACGAAAUGGGGGGUGACAGGAAGCUUUUGGAAAGAAGAA